Molecule: transfer RNA, 65 nt
Filed under: Cerambycidae sp. 5 KM-2017
Lineage: Eukaryota; Metazoa; Arthropoda; Insecta; Coleoptera; Cerambycidae
Description: tRNA-Gly
Source: RNAcentral
AUUUAUAUAAUAUAAAAAUUAUAUUUGACUUCCAAUCAAAAAAUCUAGACCUUCUAGUAUAAAUA